This 773-nucleotide ribosomal RNA is filed under the name uncultured Neocallimastigales. Its description in RNAcentral is "partial large subunit ribosomal RNA". It matches the Rfam family "Eukaryotic large subunit ribosomal RNA", at positions 23 to 640 of the family's 3401-position model. The record is from RNAcentral. Lineage: Eukaryota; Fungi; Neocallimastigomycota; Neocallimastigomycetes; Neocallimastigales.
AGAGAGAGACAUGCGCGCAUAUCAAUAAGCGGAGGAAAAGAAACUAACUAGGAUUCCCUCAGUAACGGCGAGUGAAGCGGGAAGAGCUCAAAUUUGAAAUCUUCAAGGUUUCCCUUGACGAAUUGUAGUUUAAAGAAGUGUUUUCUGUUGGAAUUUUGGUAAAAGUUCUUUGGAAAAAGACAUCAAAGAGGGUGAGAAUCCCGUAUUUGACCAUUAUUUCCAGCUUUGUGAUACACUUUCAAAGAGUCGGAUUGUUUGGGAAUGCAGUCCAAAAUGGGUGGUAAAUUUCAUCUAAAGCUAAAUAUUGGCGAGAGACCGAUAGCGAACAAGUACCGUGAGGGAAAGAUGAAAAGAACUUUGAAAAGAGAGUUAAACAGUACGUGAAAUUGUCAAAAGGGAAGCGUUUGACACCAGUGUUGUUUUUCCGAAAAUCAAUUAAGAAUGUUUUAUUUUUGAGGAGUUAUGACUUCAUCGGCUUGCUCCUUUCUUUAUGGAACUUUCUUAAUGCACUUUUCGGUUAACAAGUCAACAUCAAUUUCUUUUGUUGUAAAAGAGUAUGAGGAAGGUGGCUUUCUUUUCGGAGAAAGUGUUUAUAGCCUUGUACUUCUGCAAUCGGAGAGAUUGAGGUCUGCAGCGUAGAUCCUUCGGGGUUAGAUACACUUGUGCUAAGUUAUAGCUUUUCAUAGACAACUUGUUGAUUAUGAUUAGUCUUGUAGCUUACUCGCUUGUGCUAUUUUACCUACGCUUAGGAUGUUGACAGCAGUAUAGACUGU